AUUUUCCAUCAAUCCAGGAUGCCAGGAAGAAAAUGUCCAAAGUUGGAAAAGUAAUUCUCCCCAACCUUCAAGAAAAAAGAUUUUACGAUAAAAAGUACCAAGUAUUUCUGAAGUUAUAUGAACACCAGCUGGAAUAUUAGGCUAUUAUGAAAGGAAUCUAAUGAGACUGCUCCCCUCUCCACAUUGCCCAGAAUGCCAGACAGAAAGGCUGCUAAACAGAACUGAGUGUAUCAAAUAAAGGAUUAAAG
Molecule: non-coding RNA, 248 nt
Organism: Pelobates cultripes (western spadefoot toad)
Lineage: Eukaryota; Metazoa; Chordata; Amphibia; Anura; Pelobatidae
Source: the annotation of a GenBank genome assembly